Molecule: unclassified non-coding RNA, 297 nt
Filed under: uncultured Dothideomycetes
Lineage: Eukaryota; Fungi; Ascomycota; Dothideomycetes
Description: sequence contains ITS1
Rfam family: 5.8S ribosomal RNA (bases 1-105)
Source: RNAcentral
GAAAUGCGAUAAGUAGUGUGAAUUGCAGAUUUCAGUGAAUCAUCGAAUCUUUGAACGCACAUUGCGCCCUUCGGUAUUCCGUUGGGCAUGCCUGUUCGAGCGUCUUUGAAAAAUUCAAGCCUUGCUUGGUGUUGGGCGCCUGUUCCCGCCGAAGCGCGUGGACUCGCCUUAAAUCCAUUGGCAGCCGGCGAGUUGGCUCCGUGCGCAGCACAUUGCGCAGCGGCCCCAGCGUGUCUGCUCCCCAUAAAGUCUUACUCGUUUGACCUCGGAUCAGGUAGGGAUACCCGCUGAACUUAA